RNAcentral lists this ribosomal RNA (448 nucleotides) under uncultured bacterium. RNAcentral's name for it is "bacterial SSU rRNA". It matches the Rfam family "Bacterial small subunit ribosomal RNA", at positions 328 to 794 of the family's 1533-position model. The record is from RNAcentral.
CGGCCAGACUCCUACGGAGGCAGCAGUGGGGAAUAUUGCACAAUGGGGGGAACCCUGAUGCAGCGACGCCGCGUGGGUGAAGGAGCACCUCGGUGCGUAAAGCCCUAUCGGCAGGGAAGAAACAGACGGUACCUGACUAAGAAGCCCCGGCUAACUACGUGCCAGCAGCCGCGGGAAUACGUAGGGGGCAAGCGUUAUCCGGAUUCACUGGGUGUAAAGGGAGCGUAGACGGCGACGCAAGUCUGGAGUGAAAGCCCGGGGCCCAACCCCGGGACUGCUCUGGAAACUGCGUCGCUGGAGUACGGGAGGGGCAGGCGGAAUUCCUGGUGUAGCGGUGAAAUGCGUAGAUAUCAGGAGGAACACCGGCGGCGAAGGCGGCCACCUGGACCGGUAUUGACGCUGAGGCGCGAAAGCGUGGGGAGCAAACAGGAUUAGAUACCCGAGUAUU